GGCGAACGGGUGAGUAAUGCAUCGGAACGUGCCCAUGUCGUGGGGGAUAACGUAUCGAAAGGUACGCUAAUACCGCAUACGUCCUGGGGGAGAAAGCGGGGGAUCUUCGGACCUCGCGCGAUUGGAGCGGCCGAUGUCGGAUUAGCUAGUAGGUGAGGUAAAGGCUCACCUAGGCGACGAUCCGUAGCGGGUCUGAGAGGAUGAUCCGCCACACUGGGACUGAGACACGGCCCAGACUCCUACGGGAGGCAGCAGUGGGGAAUUUUGGACAAUGGGGGCAACCCUGAUCCAGCCAUGCCGCGUGAGUGAAGAAGGCCUUCGGGUUGUAAAGCUCUUUCGGCCGGGAAGAAAUCGUGGUCUCUAACAUAGGCCAUGGAUGACGGUACCGGACUAAGAAGCACCGGCUAACUACGUGCCAGCAGCCGCGGUAAUACGUAGGGUGCGAGCGUUAAUCGGAAUUACUGGGCGUAAAGCGUGCGCAGGCGGUUUUGUAAGACGGAUGUGAAA
This 507-nucleotide ribosomal RNA is filed under the name uncultured Thauera sp. RNAcentral describes it as "bacterial SSU rRNA". It matches the Rfam family "Bacterial small subunit ribosomal RNA", at positions 97 to 599 of the family's 1533-position model. Lineage: Bacteria; Pseudomonadati; Pseudomonadota; Betaproteobacteria; Rhodocyclales; Zoogloeaceae. The record is from RNAcentral.